ACCAACAUAAACCUUACAAAGUUCUUGCCUGAAAAACCCUGCUAAAAAUUAAACCGGCAUACUAUACCACCACAGAAGUUUUUUCCUAAGUACAAACCAAAAAACCUCUGAGAACUGUCAAAACAAAGUAACGACAAAAGAUUACCAACAGUUUAUACUAUAUUAAAUUUAUUACAACUUUUAUAACACCAAUGCAAAAAUAAGCCAUCCAAUAUGCAACAACAUUCGCAGCGCAGCGGUUGCCCAAUGGCCAU
This 254-nucleotide long non-coding RNA is filed under the name Ananas comosus (pineapple). RNAcentral describes it as "long non-coding RNA (ACOM_LNC016352)". Lineage: Eukaryota; Viridiplantae; Streptophyta; Magnoliopsida; Poales; Bromeliaceae. The record is from RNAcentral.